Molecule: ribosomal RNA, 253 nt
Filed under: uncultured bacterium
Lineage: Bacteria
Description: partial 16S ribosomal RNA
Rfam family: Bacterial small subunit ribosomal RNA
Source: RNAcentral
UACAGAGGUGGCAAGCGUUGUUCGGAAUUACUGGGCGUAAAGGGCGCGUAGGUGGCCUUCUAAGUCAGACGUGAAAUCCCCAGGCUUAACCUGGGAACUGCGUCGGAUACUGGAAGGCUCGAGUUCGGGAGAGGAAUGUGGAAUUCCAGGUGUAGCGGUGAAAUGCGUAGAUAUCUGGAGGAACACCGGUGGCGAAGGCGGCAUUCUGGACCGAAACUGACGCUGAGGCGCGAAAGCCAGGGGAGCAAACGGG